CGGGGGGUGGAGCAGCACGGUAGCUCGUCGGGCUCAUAACCCGAAGGUCGCAGGUUCAAAUCCUGUCCCCGCAACCA
Molecule: transfer RNA, 77 nt
Filed under: Bacillus cereus
Lineage: Bacteria; Bacillati; Bacillota; Bacilli; Caryophanales; Bacillaceae
Description: tRNA-Met
Rfam family: tRNA
About the family: Transfer RNA (tRNA) molecules are approximately 80 nucleotides in length. Their secondary structure includes four short double-helical elements and three loops (D, anti-codon, and T loops). Further hydrogen bonds mediate the characteristic L-shaped molecular structure. tRNAs have two regions of fundamental functional importance: the anti-codon, which is responsible for specific mRNA codon recognition, and the 3' end, to which the tRNAs corresponding amino acid is attached (by aminoacyl-tRNA synthetases). tRNAs cope with the degeneracy of the genetic code in two manners: having more than one tRNA (with a specific anti-codon) for a particular amino acid; and 'wobble' base-pairing, i.e. permitting non-standard base-pairing at the 3rd anti-codon position.
Source: RNAcentral